CAUAUGCUCAUAUCAAUUUCAAACUCCACAUAUUGAAACGCAUGACACUCAAGAUGAAGUUUAAGGGUUGUAACGGGGCUUGGGGUGAUGGCUAACAAAUGAAGGAUAAGGAUAACAAUCGUUCUUAAAGCAAUAGCAAGUAAAGUAAUGAAAUUGAAACUUAGAAUUCACUUAGAUUGCAGAAAUCAGCUUUUAGACACGAAGGGAAAAUUCAAGCAAUAUUUAGGACCGAAUUCUAUGUUUUGGACCCUUUCUUCAACAAGCAGCACUUUAAAACUCUUUUUCGCAUAUUUUUCAACUCCUUUUUUUUUUUUUUUUUUUUUUUCAACUCUUCUUUUCUUUUCAACAAGCAUAAUAACUCACACUUCCCCCACACUUGUUUUCUGCCAUACAUUAAUAAAAAGAAAUUCAAUUUGAAUCAUGCUUUACUAUGCUUCAAGAACAAGGGUAUGGAUGGUCCUAAACUAGGCUAG
RNAcentral lists this long non-coding RNA (473 nucleotides) under Malus domestica (apple). RNAcentral's name for it is "long non-coding RNA (MDOM_LNC001736)". The record is from RNAcentral. Lineage: Eukaryota; Viridiplantae; Streptophyta; Magnoliopsida; Rosales; Rosaceae.